Molecule: ribosomal RNA, 584 nt
Filed under: Ganoderma boninense
Lineage: Eukaryota; Fungi; Basidiomycota; Agaricomycetes; Polyporales; Polyporaceae
Description: partial large subunit ribosomal RNA
Rfam family: Eukaryotic large subunit ribosomal RNA
Source: RNAcentral
CUUGAAAAGAGAGUUAAACAGUACGUGAAAUUGCUGAAAGGGAAACGCUUGAAGUCAGUCGCGUCGUCCGGAACUCAGCCUUGCUUUUGCUUGGUGCACUUUCCGGUUGACGGGUCAGCAUCGAUUUUGACCGUCGGAAAAGGGCUGGAGUAAUGUGGCACCCUCGGGUGUGUUAUAGACUCUGGUCGCAUACGGCGGUUGGGAUCGAGGAACGCAGCGCGCCGUAAGGCAGGGGUUCGCCCACUUUCGCGCUUAGGAUGCUGGCAUAAUGGCUUUAAACGACCCGUCUUGAAACACGGACCAAGGAGUCUAACAUACCUGCGAGUGUUUGGGUGGAAAACCCGAGCGCGUAAUGAAAGUGAAAGUUGAGACCCCUGUCGUGGGGGGCAUCGACGCCCGGACCUGACGUUCUCUGAAGGAUCCGCGGUAGAGCAUGUAUGUUGGGACCCGAAAGAUGGUGAACUAUGCCUGAAUAGGGUGAAGCCAGAGGAAACUCUGGUGGAGGCUCGUAGCGAUUCUACGUGCAAAUCGAUCGUCAAAUUUGGGUAUAGGGGCGAAAGACUAAUCGAUCCAUCAGGGGGCCA